UACGGAGGAGGCAAGCGUUAUCCGGAAUUAUUGGGCGUAAAGCGUCCGCAGGUGGCAAUUCAAGUCUGUGGUUAAAGACUGGGGCUUAACCCUGGAAAGGCCAUGGAAACUGAAUAGCUAGAGUGCAGUAGGGGUAGAGGGAAUUCCCGGUGUAGCGGUGAAAUGCGUAGAGCUCGGGAAGAACAUCGGUGGCGAAAGCGCUCUGCUGGACUGCAACUGACACUCAGGGACGAAAGCUAGGGGAGCGAACGGG
This 253-nucleotide ribosomal RNA is filed under the name uncultured bacterium. RNAcentral describes it as "partial 16S ribosomal RNA". It matches the Rfam family "Bacterial small subunit ribosomal RNA", at positions 524 to 776 of the family's 1533-position model. The record is from RNAcentral.